AUGCUUUGGUAGCACAUAUACUGAAAUUGGACUGCUACACAGAAGACUGGCAUGACCCCUGCACAGGAUGACAGCAAAUUCAUGAAACAUUCCAUAUUUUU
Molecule: small nuclear RNA, 101 nt
Organism: Castor canadensis (American beaver)
Lineage: Eukaryota; Metazoa; Chordata; Mammalia; Rodentia; Castoridae
Source: Ensembl